UACGUAGGGUGCAAGCGUUGUCCGGAAUUAUUGGGCGUAAAGAGCUCGUAGGCGGUUUGUCGCGUCUGCUGUGAAAACUCGGGGCUUAACCCCGGGCCUGCAGCCGAUACGGGCAGACUAGAGUUCGGCAGGGGAGACUGGAAUUCCUGGUGUAGCGGUGAAAUGCGCAGAUAUCAGGAGGAACACCGGUGGCGAAGGCGGGUCUCUGGGCCGAAACUGACGCUGAGGAGCGAAAGCGUGGGGAGCAAACAGG
RNAcentral lists this ribosomal RNA (253 nucleotides) under uncultured bacterium. Its description in RNAcentral is "partial 16S ribosomal RNA". It matches the Rfam family "Bacterial small subunit ribosomal RNA", at positions 524 to 776 of the family's 1533-position model. The record is from RNAcentral.